CAGUCGCCACGGGAAAACGGAGGGUGCAAGCGUUAUCCGGAUUCACUGGGUUUAAAGGGUGCGUAGGCGGGCAGGUAAGUCAGUGGUGAAAUCUUCGAGCUUAACUCGGAAACUGCCGUUGAUACUAUCUGUCUUGAAUAACGUUAAGGUGAGCGGAAUAUGUCAUGUAGCGGUGAAAUGCUUAGAUAUGACAUAGAACACCGAUUGCGAAGGCAGCUCACUAAACGCUCAUUGACGCUGAGGCACGAAAGCGUGGGGAUCAAACAGGAUUAGAUACCCCCGUAGUCCCCGUCUCUUAUAC
RNAcentral lists this ribosomal RNA (301 nucleotides) under uncultured bacterium. RNAcentral's name for it is "partial 16S ribosomal RNA". It matches the Rfam family "Bacterial small subunit ribosomal RNA", at positions 509 to 807 of the family's 1533-position model. The record is from RNAcentral.